UGGCUCAGAUGGUAAAGCAUCUGCCUACAAUGCAGGAGUCCCAGGUUUGAUCCCUGG
Molecule: transfer RNA, 57 nt
Filed under: Bos taurus (domestic cattle)
Lineage: Eukaryota; Metazoa; Chordata; Mammalia; Artiodactyla; Bovidae
Also listed under: 4 other names
Rfam family: tRNA
About the family: Transfer RNA (tRNA) molecules are approximately 80 nucleotides in length. Their secondary structure includes four short double-helical elements and three loops (D, anti-codon, and T loops). Further hydrogen bonds mediate the characteristic L-shaped molecular structure. tRNAs have two regions of fundamental functional importance: the anti-codon, which is responsible for specific mRNA codon recognition, and the 3' end, to which the tRNAs corresponding amino acid is attached (by aminoacyl-tRNA synthetases). tRNAs cope with the degeneracy of the genetic code in two manners: having more than one tRNA (with a specific anti-codon) for a particular amino acid; and 'wobble' base-pairing, i.e. permitting non-standard base-pairing at the 3rd anti-codon position.
Source: Rfam by way of RNAcentral